RNAcentral lists this ribosomal RNA (474 nucleotides) under uncultured bacterium. RNAcentral describes it as "SSU rRNA". It matches the Rfam family "Bacterial small subunit ribosomal RNA", at positions 26 to 518 of the family's 1533-position model. The record is from RNAcentral.
AGGACGAACGCUGGCGGCGUGCUUAACACAUGCAAGUCGAGCGGAAAGGCCCUUCGGGGUACUCGAGCGGCGAACGGGUGAGUAACACGUGAGUAACCUGCCCCUAGCUCUGGGAUAGCUCCGGGAAACCGGGAUUAAUACCAGAUACGACCACGGCCGACAUCUGCUGUGGUGGAAAGGAUUCCGGCUAAGGAUGGGCUCGCGGCCUAUCAGCUAGUUGGUGGAGUAACGGCCCACCAAGGCGACGACGGGUAGCCGGCCUGAGAGGGCGACGGCCACGACUGGGACUGAGACACGGCCCAGACUCCUACGGGAGGCAGCAGUGGGGAAUAUUGCGCAAUGGGCGAAAGCCUGACGCAGCGACGCCGCGUGGGGGAUGAAGGCCUUCGGGUUGUAAACCCGUUUCAGCAGGGACGAAGCGAAAGUGACGGUACCUGCAGAAGAAGCGCCGGCUAACUACGUGCCAGCAGCCGC